RNAcentral lists this ribosomal RNA (424 nucleotides) under Verrucomicrobiota bacterium. RNAcentral's name for it is "Verrucomicrobia bacterium partial 16S ribosomal RNA". It matches the Rfam family "Bacterial small subunit ribosomal RNA", at positions 355 to 776 of the family's 1533-position model. Lineage: Bacteria; Pseudomonadati; Verrucomicrobiota. The record is from RNAcentral.
UGAGGAAUAUUGGUCAAUGGACGGAAGUCUGAACCAGCCAAGUAGCGUGCAGGAUGACGGCUCUAUGGGUUGUAAACUGCUUUUGUAUGGGGAUAAAGUUAGGGACGUGUCCCUAUUUGCAGGUACCAUACGAAUAAGGACCGGCUAAUUCCGUGCCAGCAGCCGCGGUAAUACGGAAGGUCCAGGCGUUAUCCGGAUUUAUUGGGUUUAAAGGGAGCGUAGGCUGGAGAUUAAGUGUGUUGUGAAAUGUAGACGCUCAACGUCUGAAUUGCAGCGCAUACUGGUUUCCUUGAGUACGCAAAACGUUGGCGGAAUUCGUCGUGUAGCGGUGAAAUGCUUAGAUAUGACGAAGAACUCCGAUUGCGAAGGCAGCUGACGGGAGCGCAACUGACGCUUAAGCUCGAAGGUGCGGGUAUCAAACAGG